GACGAACGCUGGCGGCGUGCUUAACACAUGCAAGUCGUACGGUAAGGCCCUUUCGGGGGUACACGAGUGGCGAACGGGUGAGUAACACGUGAGUAACCUGCCCACAACUUUGGGAUAACGCUAGGAAACUGGUGCUAAUACUGGAUAUGUGCUCCUGCUGCAUGGUGGGGGUUGGAAAGCUCCGGCGGUUGUGGAUGGACUCGCGGCCUAUCAGUUUGUUGGUGGGGUAGUGGCCUACCAAGGCGGCGACGGGUAGCCGGCCUGAGAGGGUGACCGGCCACAUUGGGACUGAGAUACGGCCCAGACUCCUACGGGAGGCAGCAGUGGGGAAUAUUGCACAAUGGGCGCAAGCCUGAUGCAGCAACGCCGCGUGCGGGAUGACGGCCUUCGGGUUGUAAACCGCUUUCAGCAGGGACGAAGCUUUUUGUGACGGUACCUGCAGAAGAAGCACCGGCUAACUACGUG
RNAcentral lists this ribosomal RNA (465 nucleotides) under uncultured bacterium. Its description in RNAcentral is "partial 16S ribosomal RNA". It matches the Rfam family "Bacterial small subunit ribosomal RNA", at positions 28 to 507 of the family's 1533-position model. The record is from RNAcentral.